GGGAGAAUUUGUUCAUUAUCCGGCGUGGAAAGAGAAGUGGAGAAAAAAAAGGAAAAAAUUAAAGUAUGAAAUAGUAAUAGGUUUGUUUGGUGUAGUACCAUGUUUGUAAUGAUGGUGGGUGUUAACAUACAACAGGUUUGUAUAGUUCGUAAUGGUUUUGGACUGUCAUAACGGACGUCGACUAUUUUAUAAUGGCUAUGUGAUGUUUAAUGGCUCCGGUACUACUCAUAAGCUAGUG
This 238-nucleotide long non-coding RNA is filed under the name Sorghum bicolor (sorghum). RNAcentral's name for it is "long non-coding RNA (SBIC_LNC001348)". Lineage: Eukaryota; Viridiplantae; Streptophyta; Magnoliopsida; Poales; Poaceae. The record is from RNAcentral.